UACGGAGGGGGCGAGCGUUAUUCGGAAUUAUUGGGCGUAAAGGGCGCGUAGGCGGCUUGAUGUGUCAAAGGUGAAAUCCCUCGGCUCAACUGAGGAACUGCCUUUGAAACUGUCUGGCUUGAGGCCGGGAGAGGGUAGCGGAAUUCCCAGUGUAGCGGUGAAAUGCGUAGAUAUUGGGAGGAACACCAGUGGCGAAGGCGGCUACCUGGACCGGUUCUGACGCUGAUGCGCGAAAGCGUGGGUAGCAAACAGG
This 253-nucleotide ribosomal RNA is filed under the name uncultured bacterium. Its description in RNAcentral is "partial 16S ribosomal RNA". It matches the Rfam family "Bacterial small subunit ribosomal RNA", at positions 524 to 776 of the family's 1533-position model. The record is from RNAcentral.